CCUGGAACUGGACCUGGACCUGGACCAGGUACACUGUGACCUCGUCAGGUCACAGUGUAAAUCUCUGACCAGCAGCAGUGCGACUCAUGUAACCGGCUGACGGACCAAUGAGAGAGGCCAUAUGGCAGGUAGACAGGAAGUGAGUCAGGGUCCAGACUCUGGAGGACUCUGAGCAGUAGGUCCACACACACACCUGACAGGACUGUGUGUCUGCAGACCCUGAAGUCCACUCACUCAGCCAGUCCACAGCCACAGCAACAUGUGCCUGCAAUGCAUUCUGGGACUUGCAGUCCAGCACUGGUGAGAGUUAAAAAGGCAGCUGCUGAAAUAAGAUUCACCUCAGAGAAGGGUUACUGAGACCUGGACCCUGAGACCUGGACCUGAACCUGAGACCUGGACCUGAACCCUGAGACCUGAACCCUGAGACCUGGACCCUGAGACCUGAACCUUGAGACCUGGACCCUGAGACUUGAGUCCUGAACCCUGAGACAUGAACCCUGAGACCUGAACCCUGAGACCUGAGUGUGGACCCUGAGACCUGGACCCUGAGACCUGGACCCUGAGACCUGGACCUGAGACCUGAACCUGAGACCUGGACCCUGAGACCUGAACCUGAGACCUGGACCCUGAGACCAUAACCCUGAGACCUGAUCCCUGAGACCUGGACCUGAACCCUGAGACCUGGACCCUGAGACCUGGACCCUGAGACCUGAACCUGAGACCCGGACCCUGAGACCCGGACCCGGAGACCUGAGCCCCGGGUCAGAGCUCAGUUAAAGAACUCUUGUCCUGACACUGAGACAUCUGUCCCUCGGAGGUUUGAGGGUUUUCUGUCUUUGUUGAAUUUAAAAGGUUGAAUCACACAAAGUGUUCAGAUCACAAUCUUAGUUUAUCGAGUCAGAGCCGCUCAGAGGUCAAAGGUCAUGUUGGCAGCCCCUGUCAGCCUCUGGUUUCAUUAACACUGAGGGGGUCGUGCUGCUCCACGGCUCACUGACCUUUGAUGCUGGAAUCUGUCGGACUUUAUUUAUGAUGUGUAUGGUGUUUAAACCAAACGAGUCCUCGGGGACGAUAACGACUUUCUGAUCGGCAUGAACAUUUUGUUUCUCGUGAACUGAGUCAGUUUAAUCACAAACAGCUGAUGCAGAUCAAUUAAAACCCAUGUUUUAAUGACUCCGGAGGUUUGAACGGUGCAGUGAUGUGGUUUCCCUCCACUGGAACUAAGAGGAUAAAACCAGGGAAAACAGACAGGAGCGUCCACAUACUUUUGGCCACAUAGUGUGGACACUGAGGCUCAGACACGCGCCUCUGUGCCGCCCCCUGCUGGACACACACACCUACAACAUGUGGGUCAAACCAACCAGCAGGUUAUUAACUGACUAACAUUAGAUAUGAAUUCAUCUGCAGCUUCAAUCAAUCUUUUUUACAUUUCUACCACUGGAAUUAUUGAUUAUUGACAGAAAUCUGUUCUAAUGACCUAAUAAAUAUAUUAUUAAAUAACAAUAUGAAGAUGUUUUAGGUGGAUUGUUGUGUCCUGUUGAAACCUCGUCCAGAUGACAGCAGCAGCGUCCCCUGGUGGACAGUUACACACCUGCAGCUGCAGAAAGACGUCCUAAUAUUAUCAGAAAAAUCUUAUUUUGAAAAUAAAGUAGUAAUAUUAAAAAAACUGAUGAAAACAUCAUGAUUUAGAAGGAAAAUGAAAAAGAGGUGUUUCAAUAAUGAAGGGUUUUUUUUGGAGGAAAAGUUGUGACAAAAAAAUCUUAUUUUGAAAACAAAGUUGCAUUUCAACAGGAAGUAAAGUAUUUUGAAAUGUUGUUAAAUAAAUAAACAGAAUCUUUAUGGUUGGAUAUGUCGAAAAAUAAGAAAAAAGUUUGAGAAAGCUUUACAGAGAAGAAAAAACAAUCAAUAAUAUUAAUAUUAUCAUCAAAUGAUAAAAUCCAGCUGAAUCAGAUGAUGUGACUUUUAUUCACAAACACAAAGAGACACAUAAACAAGCUCUUACUCAUCCACCUGGCUGUAGCCAUGGUUACCGAUCAGUCCCAUGAUGCUGUGUGAUGUCAGGGUGUGGGAGGGGCCGUGGGAGGGGCCAUAAUUCUACCAAUAAGACUCAUUAUUAAUCAUUGACAACAUCACUAAACGAUGUUUGAACUACGUUUAUUUUACAUUCUUUCCUUUACAAAAAGAAUUUUAAUUUAAAACACGGUGUGUGUGUGUGUGUGUGUGUGUGUGUGUGUGCGUGUAUUUUAAAGGAACAUUGCACCAUUUUUUAAAACCCUUUAUGAACAGGAGGAUUUGACCAAAUGUUGAACUGCUCCUCUAAAUUCUGUCUGAAACAUGAUGAGGUUUGGUUGUAGUCCUUGUGUGUUUGUGCGUGUGUUUGUAUGUGUGU
Molecule: long non-coding RNA, 2386 nt
Organism: Seriola aureovittata
Lineage: Eukaryota; Metazoa; Chordata; Actinopteri; Carangiformes; Carangidae
Exons: 2
Source: RefSeq, a predicted model, not a curated record